This 154-nucleotide non-coding RNA is filed under the name Schistocephalus solidus. RNAcentral's name for it is "Eukaryotic small subunit ribosomal RNA". It matches the Rfam family "Eukaryotic small subunit ribosomal RNA", at positions 499 to 652 of the family's 1831-position model. Lineage: Eukaryota; Metazoa; Platyhelminthes; Cestoda; Diphyllobothriidea; Diphyllobothriidae. The record is from Rfam by way of RNAcentral.
GGCUCCGUAAUCGGAAUGAGUGAACUCUAAAUCCUUUCACGAGGAUCAAUUGAAGGGCAAGUCUGGCGCCAGUAGCAGCGGUUACUCUAGCUCCAAUAGCGUAUAUUUAAGCUCCUGCAGAUAAAAUCCUCGUAGUUGAAUCUCGGUAUCACUG